Molecule: ribosomal RNA, 275 nt
Filed under: Pseudomonas sp. CC35
Lineage: Bacteria; Pseudomonadati; Pseudomonadota; Gammaproteobacteria; Pseudomonadales; Pseudomonadaceae
Description: partial 16S ribosomal RNA
Rfam family: Bacterial small subunit ribosomal RNA
Source: RNAcentral
AGGCCUAACACAUGCAAGUCGAGCGGAUGAGGGGAGCUUGCUCUCUGAUUCAGCGGCGGACGGGUGAGUAAUGCCUAGGAAUCUGCCCAGUAGUGGGGGACAACGUUUCGAAAGGAACGCUAAUACCGCAUACGUCCUACGGGAGAAAGUGGGGGAUCUUCGGACCUCACGCUAUUGGAUGAGCCUAGGUCGGAUUAGCUAGUUGGUAGGGUAACGGCCUACCAAGGCGACGAUCCGUAACUGGUCUGAGAGGAUGAUCAGUCACACUGGAUUGA